This 97-nucleotide small nucleolar RNA is filed under the name Fukomys damarensis (Damara mole-rat). The record is from RNAcentral. Lineage: Eukaryota; Metazoa; Chordata; Mammalia; Rodentia; Bathyergidae.
GUGCUGGGGGUCAAGCUGCAGCACCAGAGAAAGUGCUCACAUACAACUGGGGCCACCUGCCCUUCACCCUAGGCCGUUUUAAGCAGGAGCAACAGGG